This 253-nucleotide ribosomal RNA is filed under the name uncultured bacterium. RNAcentral's name for it is "partial 16S ribosomal RNA". It matches the Rfam family "Bacterial small subunit ribosomal RNA", at positions 524 to 776 of the family's 1533-position model. The record is from RNAcentral.
UACGUAGGGACCGAGCGUUGUCCGGAAUCAUUGGGCGUAAAGGGCGCGUAGGCGGCCUUCUAAGUCGAACGUGAAAUCCCCGGGCUCAACCCGGGAACUGCGUCCGAUACUGGAAGGCUUGAAUCCGGGAGAGGGAUGUGGAAUUCCAGGUGUAGCGGUGAAAUGCGUAGAUAUCUGGAGGAACACCGGUGGCGAAGGCGACAUCCUGGACCGGUAUUGACGCUGAGGCGCGAAAGCCAGGGGAGCAAACGGG